This 484-nucleotide ribosomal RNA is filed under the name uncultured bacterium. Its description in RNAcentral is "partial 16S ribosomal RNA". It matches the Rfam family "Bacterial small subunit ribosomal RNA", at positions 29 to 507 of the family's 1533-position model. The record is from RNAcentral.
AUUGAACGCUGGCGGCAUGCUUUACACAUGCCAGUCGAACGGCAGCGCGGGCUUCGGCCUGGCGGCGAGUGGCGAACGGGUGAGUAAUACAUCGGAACGUGCCCAGUAGUGGGGGAUAGCUCGGCGAAAGCCGGAUUAAUACCGCAUACGACCUGAGGGUGAAAGCGGGGGAUCUUCGGACCUCGCGCUAUUGGAGCGGCCGAUGGCAGAUUAGCUAGUUGGUGGGGUAAAGGCCUACCAAGGCGACAAUCUGUAGCUGGUCUGAGAGGACGACCAGCCACACUGGGACUGAGACACGGCCCAGACUCCUACGGGAGGCAGCAGUGGGGAAUUUUGGACAAUGGGCGAAAGCCUGAUCCAGCAAUGCCGCGUGUGUGAUGAAGGCCUUCGGGUUGUAAAGCACUUUUGGCGGGAACGAAAAGGACUGUGCCAAUACCACGGUUCGAUGACGGUACCCGCAGAAUAAGCACCGGCUAACUACGUG